RNAcentral lists this ribosomal RNA (718 nucleotides) under Hemilepidotus zapus (longfin Irish lord). Its description in RNAcentral is "partial 12S ribosomal RNA". It matches the Rfam family "Bacterial small subunit ribosomal RNA", at positions 327 to 1345 of the family's 1533-position model. Lineage: Eukaryota; Metazoa; Chordata; Actinopteri; Perciformes; Cottidae. The record is from RNAcentral.
UGCCCUACAGUUCCCCGCCCCGGGAACAAGGAGCUGGUAUCAGACACACCGCCCGGAGCCCACGAAGCCUUGCUUAGCCACACCCUAAAGGGAACUCAGCAGUGAUAAACAUUAAGCCAUAAGUGAAAACUUGACUUAGUCAAGGCUAAGAGGGCCGGUAAAACUCGUGCCAGCCACCGCGGUUAUACGAGAGACCCAAGUUGAUGACCACCGGCGUAAAGCGUGGUUAAGUUAAAACUCACACUAAAGUCAAACAUCUUCAAGACUGUUAUACGUACCCGAAGACAGGAAGUUCAACCACGAAAGUGACUUUAUAUGAUCUGACCCCACGAAAGCUAAGGAACAAACUGGGAUUAGAUACCCCACUAUGCCUAGCCAUAAACAUUGAUAGUACUACACACCGACUAUCCGCCUGGGAACUACGAGCAAUAGCUUAAAACCCAAAGGACUUGGCGGUGCUUUAGAUCCACCUAGAGGAGCCUGUUCUAGAACCGAUACCCCCCGUUCAACCUCACCCUUCCUUUGUUUAUUCCGCCUAUAUACCGCCGUCGUCAGCUUACCCUCUGAGGGUCUAAUAGUAAGCAAAACUGGCACAGCCUAAAACGUCAGGUCGAGGUGAAGCGGAUGGAAGGGGAAGAAAUGGGCUACAUUCGCUACWACAGCGAACACGAAAGAUGYRCUGAAACAYYCAUCUGAAGGAGGAUWUAGCAGUAAGYRG